AUUGAACGCUGGCGGCAUGCCUUACACAUGCAAGUCGAACGGCAGCACGGGAGCAAUCCUGGUGGCGAGUGGCGAACGGGUGAGUAAAGUAUCGGAACGUGCCCAGUCGUGGGGGAUAACGUAGCGAAAGUUACGCUAAUACCGCAUACGAUCUAUGGAUGAAAGCGGGGGAUCGCAAGACCUCGCGCGGUUGGAGCGGCCGAUAUCAGAGUAGGUAGUUGGUGGGGUAAAGGCUCACCAAGCCGACGAUCUGUAGCUGGUCUGAGGGGACGACCAGCCACCCUGGGACUGAGACACGGCCCAGACUCCUACGGGAGGCAGCAGUGGGGAAUUUUGGACAAUGGGCGAAAGCCUGAUCCAGCCAUGCCGCGUGCAGGAUGAAGGCCUUCGGGUUGUAAACUGCUUUUGUACGGAACGAAAAGGUUUGGCCUAAUAAGCUGAGCUCAUGACGGUACCGUAAGAAUAAGCACCGGCUAACUACGUGCCAGCCGCCGCCGUAA
This 500-nucleotide ribosomal RNA is filed under the name uncultured bacterium. Its description in RNAcentral is "partial 16S ribosomal RNA". It matches the Rfam family "Bacterial small subunit ribosomal RNA", at positions 30 to 523 of the family's 1533-position model. The record is from RNAcentral.